Molecule: non-coding RNA, 82 nt
Organism: Danio rerio (zebrafish)
Lineage: Eukaryota; Metazoa; Chordata; Actinopteri; Cypriniformes; Danionidae
Source: Rfam
GACGAGUUGGCAGAGUAGUUAAGGCGAUGGACUGCUAGUCCAUUGUGCUUUGCACACGUGUGUCUGAAUCCCAAACUCGUUG